RNAcentral lists this ribosomal RNA (644 nucleotides) under Proasellus granadensis. RNAcentral describes it as "eukaryotic LSU rRNA". It matches the Rfam family "Eukaryotic large subunit ribosomal RNA", at positions 409 to 872 of the family's 3401-position model. The record is from RNAcentral. Lineage: Eukaryota; Metazoa; Arthropoda; Malacostraca; Isopoda; Asellidae.
CGAGGUUAAAGCGGAUGUACAUACGUAGCCGACAGGGUGGGCUCAUCCUCUCGAGCCUCCAGCGGUCGUCGCGUUCGGACCGUCGCCACACUCGAAUCCCUUUCGGGGGAAACGACUGGCGUCGGCCGUCGCGGCGGCGGACUCGGGGGAGAGAGCGGUGGAUUCCCCUCCUCAGUAGGCAGUCGCGGCCGUUCGAGAGUCGUCUAAGACCCGGGAGUUGGGAACCGUCCGGCGUUUUACGCGUCGGCGGGGACUCUCCCUCGAUUCUGGCGGACUCUCGGACGGUCGAUGAAAAAUGACGACGCGGAGGAAAGCAAAUCCCCCGUCGUACGCGGCUGUAACGCGAUCGUUCAUCCGUCCCGUCUUGAAACACGGACCAAGGAGUCUAACAUGUACGCGAGUCAACGGGUUGGCUAAACCCCUAGGCGCAACGAAAGUAAAAAAGGAGCUUCUUUUUUUAAAAGAAGCUUCGUCGGGUCGAUCCGUGCUCCCUUAUAAGGACCGGCGCAGACCCGGGGCUCGCCGCUACCUCCUAGAGAUUCCGUCUCUAGGCGGGCGGCGGGCACCUCGAGCGUACAUGCUAGUACCCGAAAGAUGGUGAUCUAUGCCUGGCCAGGAUGAAGCCAGAGGAAACUCUGGUGGAG